GAUUAACGCUGGCGGCGUGCAUGAGACAUGCAAGUCGAACGGGCGACUCGGGCUUGCUCGAGUCGCUAGUGGCGGACGGCUGAGUAACGCGUAGGUGACUUGCCCUGAAGUGGGGAAUAACUGCCCGAAAGGGUGGCUAAUACCGCAUGUGGUGGUGCGUUCAAUCGCACCAGUAAAGCCGCAAGGCGCUUCAGGAGAGGCCUGCGUCCGAUUAGCUCGUUGGGGGGUAACGGCUCACCAAGGCGACGAUCGGUAGGUGGUCUGAGAGGACGAUCACCCAGACUGGGACUGAGACACGGCCCAGACUCCUACGGGAGGCAGCAGUUGGGAAUCUUGGACAAUGGGGGAAACCCUGAUCCAGCCAUGCCGCGUGAGCGAUGAAGGCCU
RNAcentral lists this ribosomal RNA (387 nucleotides) under uncultured bacterium. RNAcentral describes it as "bacterial SSU rRNA". It matches the Rfam family "Bacterial small subunit ribosomal RNA", at positions 28 to 417 of the family's 1533-position model. The record is from RNAcentral.